UACGUAGGGGGCAAGCGUUGUCCGGAUUUAUUGGGCGUAAAGAGCGUGUAGGCGGCCAGGUAGGUCAGCUGUGAAAACUCGAGGCUUAACCUCGAGACGCCGGCUGAAACCCUCUGGCUAGAGUCCGGAAGAGGAGAGCGGAAUUCCUGGUGUAGCGGUGAAAUGCGCAGAUAUCAGGAAGAACACCCGUGGCUAAGGCGGUUCUCUAGUACGGUACUGACGCUGAGACGCGAAAGCGUGGGGAGCGAACAGG
This 253-nucleotide ribosomal RNA is filed under the name uncultured bacterium. Its description in RNAcentral is "partial 16S ribosomal RNA". It matches the Rfam family "Bacterial small subunit ribosomal RNA", at positions 524 to 776 of the family's 1533-position model. The record is from RNAcentral.